GACGAACGCUGGCGGCGUGCUUAACACAUGCAAGUCGAACGGAAAGGCCCUGCUUUUGUGGGGUGCUCGAGUGGCGAACGGGUGAGUAACACGUGAGUAACCUGCCCUUGACUUUGGGAUAACUUCAGGAAACUGGGGCUAAUACCGGAUAGGAGCUCCUGCUGCAUGGUUGGGGUUGGAAAGUUUCGGCGGUUGGGGAUGGACUCGCGGCUUAUCAGCUUGUUGGUGGGGUAGUGGCUUACCAAGGCUUUGACGGGUAGCCGGCCUGAGAGGGUGACCGGCCACAUUGGGACUGAGAUACGGACCAGACUCCUACGGGAGGCAGCAGUGGGGAAUAUUGCACAAUGGGCGGAAGCCUGAUGCAGCAACGCCGCGUGCGGGAUGACGGCCUUCGGGUUGUAAACCGCUUUCGCCUGUGACGAAGCGUGAGUGACGGUAAUGGGUAAAGAAGCACCGGCUAACUACGUG
RNAcentral lists this ribosomal RNA (468 nucleotides) under uncultured bacterium. Its description in RNAcentral is "partial 16S ribosomal RNA". It matches the Rfam family "Bacterial small subunit ribosomal RNA", at positions 28 to 507 of the family's 1533-position model. The record is from RNAcentral.